GGAGGGGGGACGGGGUGUGUCUCACCUGCCGUCCCCGUCUGUGGCGUGGCCUUCGCCUUGGGAGAACCUCUAGUGCCAAGCAUCAGAGUGAAGAGGGCUGGAGAGCUGGUGCCGCUCCCAGUAGGACUUCUGGUGACGUCGGAUGGGCUGUGGAUGGGCAGCUCUGCCUGCAGGCGCCAUCAGGGUGUCCCAGAGUCCUGGUACAGGCCAGGGGCCCCCCGCCACCUUCAGGAGGAGAGGAGGGGAGGGGGUCACGGCUGGACCAAGGAACUUGGUUGGACCUGCGUCUUGGGACCUGUGACUCCCUGCCCCCACACCUCCUCCACCGCCUCUUCCUGCAGAGUGGCUAUAGGGGAGGGCUGAGAGCCCAGGCUGAGGGCUUCUGUCCUGGGAGGGUGGAGGUGGCACAUGGGCAGCCUGGGCUUGUGUCUGUGGGCAGUUCUUCUGCAGAGGCUCCUUCCUGCCCGCCACCUCCUAUGUGCAGGUAUGGCACCGUCCUUGGCUGUUGGAGCCUGCGUCCUCUCAGGGUCCCUUGGACAGGACUUAAAAUUGUCCAUCUCAGUGUUCUCUCCCUAUUUGAGUCUGGCCCUGAGAAGCCUCAGGUGUCCCUAGGCCCAUUGGCUGGAGGCCAGAGCCGCUGCCACCCUGUCUCCCGGCCCACCUCCCUGCCUGCAUGGUGGGGCUGCUUUAGCAUUGGCCGCUGUCCCUAUCUGCCCCUGGUUUGGUGUUGGUGGGGGCGGCCACACCCCGAAGCACAUCCCACCUCUCGGACCCUCAGUGCCUCGUCCCAAUGGUGACGGCGCUUAAGAAUCAGGCUCAGGUUGUAUCCGUCUCCCUUGUAAAUCCCUUUGGUUUCAAAAGAGCUCUGGCUGGGGACGUCCCACCGCAGGUGGAAGCACUGGUCUGCAGUCCAGUGACGGGUGUGCUUUCCUGGAAACAGCCACAGUGCGGGACCCUGACGGCCAUCCCUGGGCCUGGUUGGCGGGGCGGGUGGGGGGCUGGUGCCUGUAAGGCUGCUGUUCCCUGUGUGGACCCUCCAUGCCGAGCCCCAAGGACCAGGGAACGCUGGCCGCUCCCACACCCCUCCUGAGGGUGGAGAGGUGUUUGCAGCAACCUGGCACCUUCUGGAUUGCACCAGGCUCGGGGCAGGUGCCACAGUGUCUGAGUCUGGCACACCGUGUGCGGAGGUGGAGACAGACAGCCACGUCCGGCAGAGCGUGUGCCAUUGCUGAGAACGGCAGCUGCGUGGCAGUUACUCGGAGCAGGCUCAAGCCGAGGGCAAGGUGGGGCCCUGGGGAGUCGCUGCGGCGGCCCGUGUUGGAAGGCUCCUGUGACACCUGGCCCUAGCCAAAGCCCUGCGGACACUCCUCAGGGUCUGGCUGCCACUCGCAGCGUGGGCACUGGUGAUGCCUUUGGUUUCCCACCCUGGUGCCCAGCCUGGCUGGUGCAUGGCUCAGGACUCCAUCCCCUCUGGAGGGCCAGGGGGUGAGGCGCGUGCUCUGGUCUCAGGCUCAGCUGUAGCCUGCUGUGGUUAGACGCAGCAGGGGCCAUGGCACAGCGGGACGGGGGAUGGCCCGGGCCCCUCGACUCUCCCCAAACUAGCCAGUGAGCUCGGCCCCCGUCCAGUCAGCCGAGAUGCUUUGAGGGCUGUGGAGGGUGGGCAGGGACAUUCUCUGGCCUGUGGUGCUCUCCAGUCUUGUUGGAGCCCCUGCUGGCCCACUGGGCUUCUGGUCAGUGGGCCUGGGCCAUUACUAGCCCACACCCGGUGAUGCUGAGGAUGUUGGCACAGCUGUGGGAUACUAGCAAAGUGGUGACCCCCAAGAGAGGUCUGGAUCUCCUAACCCCAGUACCAUGCCCGUGACCUUACUCGGGAAUGGGGUCUUUGUAAUUGUGUGUCUGGAGAUGCGGUGGGCCUGGGUUAGGGUGGACUGUGCAUAGAGUGACUGGUGUCCUUGGAGGAGGAGAGGGCAGAGGAGGUGUGUGCAGAUGGAGGCCGAGGCCGGAGGCAGGAGGACCCUCCCCGCGGGCCUGCGCUGUGGUUCUCUGCGUUGGCCUCCAGAGCUGAGGUGAGCAGCUGCCUGUCCUGGGCCAGCUGUGUGGGGUGGCUUCUCGGGGCAGCUCUGAGCCCUGAGCGCAGCCCUGGGGGACCAGGACUCGGAUGGCAGGUGCUGGGGCAGUGCUGAGGGACAGCAGUCAAGACAGCCAUCUGAACGUUUCUGUUUCCUGCUGUUUUCUUGAAGUGACCCAGGGAAACUUCUGGAACACCCCUGGCCUAAGCAGCCUGGGUCCAGGGGGAGCUCUUGAGGGCUGGCGGAGGGGUAUCUUGGUCUUUUCAAAAAGGUACCCACAAAGGCUGCCUGGGUCUGGUCAGUGAUGCCCGCUGGGCAGAGGGGUGCCCUUCAGUGACUUAGGGGGCUGUGUCAUUGGGAAGUGUCAUUGGGCACGUGGCUGGUUGGUGCUGACAGCUGCUCCCAGGGAGGCGCUGUUGGAGGGGGUCUGCAUUUCCAGUGAGCCCCGCAGCUGCUGGAUGUCGCAGUCAGCCACAGCAGUCUAAGGUAGGACCCCGGCAGGGCUGUGAGCCCCUCUGUCCCCCAGCACUGCCCCCCGCAGCCUGCACACGGGUCUGGGUCCUGACGUCAGCUGUCUCAAAAGCCAGGUCAUACCCCUUGAGGUUGCUGAGCACCCCCUAAGAUGAGGUGUGCUGGCAGCACCUGCAUGCAGACACAGUGACCAAGGGCAGGUGCUGCUGUCCAGCGGGUCCCAGUGGGGCCCGGGCAGGCCGGCAUUGGCAGCACCCUCCAAACCCACAAGACGCCUGCAGAGCGGCUUGGGUGACGGCGAGUGCGGGCUCCUCGUGACAUCCUGCUGCAGUGGGCCAGGUGCUCAGAGAUGAUUUGCAUACAGGUGAGGGCCUAGGGACUCGGAGGCCCCGAGUCCAGGCAGGGUCAGGCAGGACAGACGCCUGGAGAGCUGCCGUGCAGGGCCCGCGCAGUGCCUGGACAGGCCAGCAGGGGGCAGCCGAGCUCCAGUGGCAGGCGCUGGGACAGGCCAGGCCCUGCUUCCUCCCUCUGACCAGGGCAGGGUGUCCUCCGAGGGGCCUUCUUGGGCCCCGCACCUGGGCAGCAGUGCCCUCUGCGGCUCCACCUUUCCUCUCCUGUGCUCACUUCUCUGGCCCCAGGGGCCCCAGGGGAUCUGUGUGUGGCAGGGAUGUGUCCCCACGGCUGGCAGGAGGCCAUGCCAACAUUGUUGAAUUCGGGGCUGCUGGUCUCUCUGUGGGGGGACAGGGUGUGACGAGGCGGCUGCGGGCUCCCCCACUGAACGCGCUGGACACGGGGUGCAGGCAGUGCCAGGGCUGCUGGCUCAGGGACCCUUCUGGGUGGGCCUGGGGUGGCCCCUGGCCUGCCCUGCCUGCGAGCCACUGUGGAGGCACUCCGAUCCCGUCCCCCUCUGGAGGGACCUGUGUUGGGAGUCUGGGUGCUCGGCAGCGGGUGGCACAGGCCUUGGGGAUCUGCGGACUCCAGUUCCCUCCACCCUGUUUCCCCAGAAGCGUGGUCUCAGGUGGCUUCGCUAGCCGCCCCUUACCUGGCCCAUGGCAGGCUUGUCAGGGCAAAGAAGAGGGUCCACAUCCGGGACCCUGGCAGAGUGUGUCAGCCAGGGAUCUCAUUUUUGCAGCAGGGCCAUAGUUCCUGGGGGAAAGCCUGGGGUCAGAGGCCAUGCUGGACACUCCCCUUGAACAGGGAGGUGGCCGGGCAGUGGACUGAGGCUGGUGUGCAGGCUGCUCCGCCCGCUGCCUGACUUAGUCUUCCCGGGCUGUGCCGUGGUCUGGAGGGCAGACUCUCUGUUUUCCAUGGUCGAGUCCGAGGGCUGUGCCCUGGGUCCUGCUGGGCGUGUAGUAGGUGCUCAGAAAGCUUCUGUGGACGGAUGGACACAGGAGCAGUGGCCACCUGUGCCAGCGUGCUGCUGACCUGCUGGGUGGGUGAGGACCCAGGUGCCCUUCUUUUGCUGGCACCCACUGUGGGGCGUGAGGCUGCAGGUGGCCCUGGCAGCCAUUUGUGCCCUGUGACACGGACGAGGAGGUUAGCCAGGGGCCUGUGCAUGCUGCGGGGAAAAGGUCAAGUGAGCCCCUGGGCCACGCGAGCACUGGAGGGCCCCGGGACCCUUAACUCAGACUGGCCGUCGCGGGGCCCUCUGUAGUGUGCUGUGGCUGUCUCUCCGAAGAGAGUGCAUCUCGGAGUGUUCUGGACACAGCCAGCAUUGACACCCGUCUCUCUGCACCUGGGCUGGUGGCCUUGUGUCAGCCACUCACGGACAGAAGAAUGGCAUUGAUGUUGGGGACUGUCCCCAGUGAGGACGGGGAACAAGGGAAGUUGUCAUGGGGUGUCUGCGAAUGGUGGUGGCACUGUGACUAUGGUGGCUUGAGGGACCACUCACACUCAGGUGGGCUGAGCAUGUUAGACUCUGAACGGGUCAGGAAGUGGUAGGGUUAGGAGGAAGUGUGGGGCCUGCACACUAGUUAGGACCACUCUGGUGCUCAGGGGGCAGGGGGCCGUGGUGACCAGGGCUGAGCUGCAGGGACACAGCCUGAGCCCCUUGGCUCGUGGUGGACAGUAGAGAAGUCGCUGGCUCUUGCAGGCUGGAGGCCAGGGUCAUGGCCUGUGGAGUGCCCCCGGGAGGCAGUCUUAGCUGGGUCAGAUGCCUUUGGCAUUUUUAUGAGAUGCCAGGAAUGUUUGGGGUGCUUGGGGCCGAUGGUCCUGCGUUCCACCUGGUGAGUUGUUUUGCCACAUACCUGAACAGCAGUGACUGCGCGUGACGGCGGGCGUGUGGGGCAGUGAUCUCUGCUCCAGCCAGCAGCAGUGGCCAGCAGCAGGGAACCCCAGGCUUGAUGUGGAAAGUGGGGGAAUUGAAACUGGCAGAGGGCAGGGGGGCUCUGCCCAGCUGGUGUGGGCAGGAAGUGCUCCUUCCAGCCUCCGGGGCUGGGCACCCUGGCAGAGUGCUGGCUCCGCCUGGCUUUUCCUAGAAGAGAAUUCACCUCACCCCCAACCGGUCAGCACAUGCCAGGCCCAGCGUGCAGCGGGCGGGUGGGGGCUGACCCCACGCCCUUCUUCAGGCGCAGGGUGCCGGGUGCCCGGCUGGUCUCCUGGGGCUCCUGCAGGCUGGUGGCCUCAGCUGUGGUAGCAUGUCCUCUCAUGGUUUCAGAGGCCAGAGGCGCAAGGUCAGGCUGUGGGAGUGCCCCCCUCCGAAGGCGCUGGGAGGACCCUGCCUGGUCCCCCAGCUUCUGUGGCUCCCGUGUCCUCCGCCCUCCUUGGCUUGUGCCUGCACCUUUGCAGGCUCUGCUUCUGGUACCGUCGGGCCACCUCCCCCUGGGCCCACAUCUCCCUCCUCCUAGGAGGACGCCAGGUAUGUUGGGUUCAGGGCUACCCUCCUCCAGGUGGCCUCUGCUGAGUCCAGCGUGUUUCCAGAUCUGGACGUGACUCUGGGGGACGUUCACUGGCUGGCAGCGUGUCUCCCUGUUCACACGUGGGACACUUUCCCCAGCAUUCCUUGGAAUGGCUGAGUGUCCAGCGGGGAGGUGGACAGGUAAGGAGGGAGGAAUCAAGGGCAGGGUGACCACCUGCUGCUUGGUGGCUGUCUGGCCUUGGGCCAGUGACUCUGCCCCGACCCUGUUUCCAGGCUGGUUCCUGAAGCAGAGGGGCCGCGGCAGCGGUCGAGCAGGGCUGAGGGCUGUGCUGGAGGUGGCCACGUGCUCUGCCUGCUGCCUGCACAGGCUUCUGCCCCUCGGGGGCCGCACCCAUAGGCCUGGGAUGGGGCAGUCCCUCCCUCGCUGACCCAUGGUGAGGACAGAGGAGAAUAGGGCACAGUGUCCUCCCAGGAUCCUGCAGAGAUCAGUGUGGGCUCUGGAUCUCGGCCACUCAGAUGGUCAGGGGCCCUUGUGGAUCCCGCUCCUUCCUUGGGAACUGGGGGUCCUGUGGGCAGCGUCAGUGGCCAGUGCGUUGGGGUAAUCAGCCACACUGUGGAGCCAGGACCUGGCCUCUGCGGCCUCUUGCAUGGAGCUGGCCUGAGUGGCAGAUGCAGGGCCUCCUGCUUAGCAGUGUCCUGGAGCCCUUCUCUGACAAUGGCCAGCAGGACCCCAGGCCUGGCAGCCUCUGUGUCCCAGGAGCUGACACCAGUUUGUCUGUGGUGAGGAGACAGCCCUGAGCCAGCGUGACCCCAGGCGGACGAUGCCCUCGCCACACCAGUGCAGGCCCGCCUUGCCCUGCGCCCGCCCACCUGUGGUGGCUAGAGAAGCUCCCGUCACUUUCACAGGACCCCUGUGCUACUGUACACCUAGGCAGGGACCUGUGAGUCCCCUCGCUGUCCACUUCCCUGAAUGGGCCUGGACAAGAAGCACAGUGUCUUCAGGGAGCCCUGUUUCCAGCCUGCUGUGGUUGGGGUUUCAGUGGAUGGGCGGUCGCCCUGUGGUCAGCCCCAAACCCGUCUCUCCAUCUGGGUACGACAGCUCUGGCCUUGCCCAGCCUGGUGCCCGCACUUAUUCACCUGGCACAGAGAGGCAGCCAGUUCCAAGAAAGGGACUUUUGAUCCUUGGAGGCGGCUGCUUUUGCCAAAAGCCCCCGACGUCUCCGCCUGGCCCCGGCCCAAGCCUGCUUCUCAGGGCAGCUCCUCCGCCUGAGGCUGUUGGGAGACACCUUUGAAAAAUGGCCCUUGCUCUGGCUGGAGGGUGGCCGACUCAGUCCAGCCUGGCUCCUCCUUGGCUACCAGCCUGGGCCCAGGACGCAGAGCCAUAUGGCAGGUUCAGAAACCAAGCCAGGGCCCAAAUUCCUGCGUGGUGGCCCCGGAGCCCCUGCUCUGCCUGACCCGCAGCCUCCUAAGCCUCCCCGAGCUUGGGGUCAGGUGGUGGGGUGGCCUGCAUGCCCAGCUGGCCUGCACGCUGCCGCCAGCUCCGAGACCUAGGAUGCGCCAGGGAGUCUUGUCCUGCCGCCCUCUUGGGUUGUGACGUUCCACGGGGCUGCCUCUGCUCCGAGCCGGACGGCCCUGGUCCCUCCCCCUCCUGUCCUGUUCAGCCAUGCUGACGGGUCUUAAUGAGCCCAUCCUGAGCACUUCCUUGUGGACCCGUCUUGAGGAAGUGCUUGUGCACGGAGCACUUUCCCACAGCCAGGAGACAAUGUGCUGUCCCUUGCCAAGAAUCACAUUUGCCAUCCUUCGCGUCCUGAUGCUGGAGGUGAGCCUGGAGCCCGGCCAGGCCAGCCUGCCAAGCGCCCUCCAUUGAUCACUAUCAGGAUGCGUUUGAUUAAUAUCUGCCCUGGAUGGAGGCCCGCGCUUGGCCAGGCCCUGGUUCCCCGCUGCUGAGGGGCUCUGCGUGCCGGGUCUGGGUGGCGGCUGGUGGCGGCUGUGAGGCUGGUGCACGGGCCUCAGGCAGGUGGCCUGAGUGACAGUGCUGUGCUUGGCUGUGGCCGUGUGAACCUGCUCUCGGCUCGGCUGCCCAGCCUGGCUCUGUGUUUCCAGUUUACCCAGGUCUGUGAAGCAAAACCCAGCUGUCCAGUCCUGGAGUGCGGCUGGCCCUGCCUCCCAGGCUGGGUGGGAAAGGGCCUCUGGGCGAUUCUCUGAGCCUGUGGUCAGGGGACAGGAGCCCCUUCGAGCCUCCUGCCUUCUACAGACUGCCCCGGAGGGGACAGGCCAGGGGCUUCCACGGUCCAGUCCUCACCUGUCCAGUGGUUGGGUCAGGGGACAGCAGCAGUGUCCAGCUCCAUGGGGGCUGGCCACAGAAGGCCAGAUGGGGACAGAAAAUGGCAGCUGGAGGCUUUUGGGGACCUCAAUUUCUGGGAAGGAGAAAGAGGAUCUCAGCUGUGAAUGACGGCAGAGGGGACUGUGGGAGAGGGGCAGCUGUGUGGCCUGGGCGGGUGGCUGCCGUGUCCUGUCCGUGUCCAAGAGGCCCCUUGGCGGCGGAGUCCUGAGUCCUGAGCAGGGGUGAGCAGCCCGGGCUGCUCCCUUGCUGGAGAAGCUGGUGACCCCUGGCCGAGGCCGUCCAAUGAGCACGUUUCCCAAGCGGCCGAGGCUCUGGUCUCUCAGGAGUUGGGGUCUUUGACGCGGGAAGGGCCUGAGGGGCCUAGUGAGGCCCCUGGGGGGCCGGGCCGAGCUCUGCCGUGGCAGGGGUGGCUGGGUCCCCCUGCUGGGAGGGGAACUGGUGGCUCCCACACCCAGCGCUCCCCGGGGCGCGUCCAGGCUGGGUGCUGAGAACCCUGAGGACGGCCCUGGCCAGGUGCUGCCUGCCUCUCCUCUGAGCAGCGGUCGCUGAGAUCUGCUUGGACCUGGCCGUGAACUUGGCAGCAGCCCACGUCUGUGGGAGGGGGCUCCUCGGCUACCGGAGGGUCCCCAGCUGCGCCCACCCCCACCCGCCCUCUUACCUGUGCUGGCCUCCCAGCCUGGCGCCCUCCCCGCCCCCUGCCAGCCUGAGAUGCCGCGGCCCUCUGUGGACGUGCCCACGUCUCCACCUGGCCCCACCUCUCCACCUGUCCCCACGGCCCCACCACCUCUGGGGACCUUGUCCCUCCCCAGUGUGAAGCCAGCCCUGGCGGGGCCUGCAGGAACAGCCCCGCCCACCACCCAGGCACACCCGGGUCACAGCUCCUGCCUGUCACUGUCCUGUGCCAUGCCUCUUGGGCUCAGGGCAUUUGUCAUGUGCUAAAAACACGUGGAAGUCCUGACCCCCGGGACUGGUGGGCAUGGCUCAGGGGUCUUUGUAGGUAUGAUACAGGUGGGGGCGGUGGUUGAAUAUGGCUUGUUCUCCCCCCCAACUCAUGUUGGGAUCAAGGCCCUGUUGUGGGGCUUCAGAGGGCAAGGCCUUGGGGAGGAGACCAGGACGAGCUGAGGUCACCAGGAUGGACCCAUGAGAACACCACCAGAGGAGGUGUCUUGCCCAUCUACCAGAACUGUGAGCCCAAAUAAACCUCUUUACUC
This 8952-nucleotide long non-coding RNA is filed under the name Marmota monax (woodchuck). The record is from RNAcentral. Lineage: Eukaryota; Metazoa; Chordata; Mammalia; Rodentia; Sciuridae.